AGAGUUUGAUCAUGGCUCAGGACGAACGCUGGCGGCGUGCUUAACACAUGCAAGUCGAACGGAUCUGUUGUGGUGCUUGCACUGCGGCGGGUUAGUGGCGAACGGGUGAGUAACACGUGAGGAACCUGCCCCAGAGUUCGGGAUAACCCGGGGAAACUCGGGCUAAUACCGGAUGCCCUUUUUCGGUCGAUGGCCGGUUGAGGAAAGAUUUAUCGCUUUGGGAGGGUCUCGCGGCCUAUCAGCUUGUUGGUGAGGUAAUGGCUCACCAAGGCUUCGACGGGUAGCUGGUCUGAGAGGACGAUCAGCCACACUGGGACUGAGACACGGCCCAGACUCCUACGGGAGGCAGCAGUGGGGAAUCUUGCGCAAUGGGCGAAAGCCUGACGCAGCGACGCCGCGUGGGGGAUGAAGGCCUUAGGGUCGUAAACCCCUUUCAGCAGGGACGAAGAUGACGGUACCUGCAGAAGAAGCCCCGGCCAACUACGUGCCAGCAGCCGCGGUAAGACGUAGGGGGCGAGCGUUGUCCGGAAUUAUUGGGCGUAAAGGGCUCGUAGGCGGUUCGGUAAGUCGGAUGUGAAAACUUGGGGCUCAACCCUGAGACGCCAUCCGAUACUGCUGUGACUUGAGUUCGGUAGAGGAGUGUGGAAUUCCUGGUGUAGCGGUGAAAUGCGCAGAUAUCAGGAGGAACACCUACGGCGAAGGCAGCACUCUGGGCCGAUACUGACGCUGAGGAGCGAAAGCGUGGGUAGCAAACAGGAUUAGAUACCCUAGUAGUCC
This 777-nucleotide ribosomal RNA is filed under the name uncultured bacterium. Its description in RNAcentral is "bacterial SSU rRNA". It matches the Rfam family "Bacterial small subunit ribosomal RNA", at positions 8 to 796 of the family's 1533-position model. The record is from RNAcentral.